Dioscorea cayenensis subsp. rotundata (Guinea yam) is the source of this 78-nucleotide small nucleolar RNA. RefSeq annotates it as small nucleolar RNA snoR28. NCBI's taxonomy places the organism in Eukaryota, Viridiplantae, Streptophyta, Magnoliopsida, Dioscoreales, Dioscoreaceae. The transcript has a single exon. The record is from RefSeq and is a predicted model, not a curated record.
GACGAGGGAGAUGAUGUAUUUUACUGUGAAUAUGAGUAUGAUGUACAUUGGCAUAGUUUCAAGCGGAUUUCAGAAAUU